RNAcentral lists this ribosomal RNA (830 nucleotides) under Stenotrophomonas maltophilia. RNAcentral's name for it is "bacterial SSU rRNA". It matches the Rfam family "Bacterial small subunit ribosomal RNA", at positions 46 to 862 of the family's 1533-position model. Lineage: Bacteria; Pseudomonadati; Pseudomonadota; Gammaproteobacteria; Lysobacterales; Lysobacteraceae. The record is from RNAcentral.
GCCUACACAUGCANGUCGAACGGCAGCACAGAGGAGCUUGCUCCUUGGGUGGCGAGUGGCGGACGGGUGUAGGAAUACAUCGGAAUCUACUCUGUCGUGGGGAGAUAACGUAGGGAAACUUACGCUAAUACCGCAUACGACCUACGGGUGAAAGCAGGGGAUCUUCGGACCUUGCGCGAUUGAAUGAGCCGAUGUCGGAUUAGCUAGUUGGCGGGGUAAAGGCCCACCAAGGCGACGAUCCGUAGCUGGUCUGAGAGGAUGAUCAGCCNCACUGGAACUGAGACACGGNCCAGACUCCUACNGGAGGCAGCAGUGGGGAAUAUUGGACAAUGGGCGCAAGCCUGAUCCAGCCAUACCGCGUGGGUGAAGAAGGCCUUCGGGUUGUAAAGCCCUUUUGUUGGGAAAGAAAUCCAGCUGGCUAAUACCCGGUUGGGAUGACGGUACCCAAAGAAUAAGCACCGGCUAACUUCGUGCCAGCAGCCGCGGUAAUACGAAGGGUGCAAGCGUUACUCGGAAUUACUGGGCGUAAAGCGUGCGUAGGUGGUCGUUUAAGUCCGUUGUGAAAGCCCUGGGCUCAACCUGGGAACUGCAGUGGAUACUGGGCGACUAGAGUGUGGUAGAGGGUAGCGGAAUUCCUGGUGUAGCAGUGAAAUGCGUAGAGAUCAGGAGGAACAUCCAUGGCGAAGGCAGCUACCUGGACCANCNCUGACACUGAGGCACGAAAGCGUGNGGAGCAAACANGAUUAAAUACCNUGGUAGUCCGCGCCCUAAACGAUGCNAACUGGAUGUUGGGGUGCNAUUUGGCACGCAGUAUCUAAGCUNACGCGUUA